RNAcentral lists this ribosomal RNA (1410 nucleotides) under Staphylococcus aureus. Its description in RNAcentral is "bacterial SSU rRNA". It matches the Rfam family "Bacterial small subunit ribosomal RNA". Lineage: Bacteria; Bacillati; Bacillota; Bacilli; Caryophanales; Staphylococcaceae. The record is from RNAcentral.
AACUUCGGGAAACCGGAGCUAAUACCGGAUAAUAUUUUGAACCGCAUGGUUCAAAAGUGAAAGACGGUCUUGCUGUCACUUAUAGAUGGAUCCGCGCUGCAUUAGCUAGUUGGUAAGGUAACGGCUUACCAAGGCAACGAUGCAUAGCCGACCUGAGAGGGUGAUCGGCCACACUGGAACUGAGACACGGUCCAGACUCCUACGGGAGGCAGCAGUAGGGAAUCUUCCGCAAUGGGCGAAAGCCUGACGGAGCAACGCCGCGUGAGUGAUGAAGGUCUUCGGAUCGUAAAACUCUGUUAUUAGGGAAGAACAUAUGUGUAAGUAACUGUGCACAUCUUGACGGUACCUAAUCAGAAAGCCACGGCUAACUACGUGCCAGCAGCCGCGGUAAUACGUAGGUGGCAAGCGUUAUCCGGAAUUAUUGGGCGUAAAGCGCGCGUAGGCGGUUUUUUAAGUCUGAUGUGAAAGCCCACGGCUCAACCGUGGAGGGUCAUUGGAAACUGGAAAACUUGAGUGCAGAAGAGGAAAGUGGAAUUCCAUGUGUAGCGGUGAAAUGCGCAGAGAUAUGGAGGAACACCAGUGGCGAAGGCGACUUUCUGGUCUGUAACUGACGCUGAUGUGCGAAAGCGUGGGGAUCAAACAGGAUUAGAUACCCUGGUAGUCCACGCCGUAAACGAUGAGUGCUAAGUGUUAGGGGGUUUCCGCCCCUUAGUGCUGCAGCUAACGCAUUAAGCACUCCGCCUGGGGAGUACGACCGCAAGGUUGAAACUCAAAGGAAUUGACGGGGACCCGCACAAGCGGUGGAGCAUGUGGUUUAAUUCGAAGCAACGCGAAGAACCUUACCAAAUCUUGACAUCCUUUGACAACUCUAGAGAUAGAGCUUUCCCCUUCGGGGGACAAAGUGACAGGUGGUGCAUGGUUGUCGUCAGCUCGUGUCGUGAGAUGUUGGGUUAAGUCCCGCAACGAGCGCAACCCUUAAGCUUAGUUGCCAUCAUUAAGUUGGGCACUCUAAGUUGACUGCCGGUGACAAACCGGAGGAAGGUGGGGAUGACGUCAAAUCAUCAUGCCCCUUAUGAUUUGGGCUACACACGUGCUACAAUGGACAAUACAAAGGGCAGCGAAACCGCGAGGUCAAGCAAAUCCCAUAAAGUUGUUCUCAGUUCGGAUUGUAGUCUGCAACUCGACUACAUGAAGCUGGAAUCGCUAGUAAUCGUAGAUCAGCAUGCUACGGUGAAUACGUUCCCGGGUCUUGUACACACCGCCCGUCACACCACGAGAGUUUGUAACACCCGAAGCCGGUGGAGUAACCUUUUAGGAGCUAGCCGUCGAAGGUGGGACAAAUGAUUGGGGUGAAGUCGUAACAAGGUAGCCGUAUCGGAAGGUGCGGCUGGAUCACCUCCUUUCUAAGGA